RNAcentral lists this ribosomal RNA (468 nucleotides) under uncultured bacterium. RNAcentral describes it as "partial 16S ribosomal RNA". It matches the Rfam family "Bacterial small subunit ribosomal RNA", at positions 28 to 507 of the family's 1533-position model. The record is from RNAcentral.
GACGAACGCUGGCGGCGUGCUUAACACAUGCAAGUCGAACGGAAAGGCCCUGCUUUUGUGGGGUGCUCGAGUGGCGAACGGGUGAGUAACACGUGAGUAACCUGCCCUUGACUUUGGGAUAACUUCAGGAAACUGGGGCUAAUACCGGAUAUGAUCUCCUGCUGCAUGUUGGGGGUUGGAAAGUUUCGGCUGUUGGGGAUGGACUCGCGGCUUAUCAGCUUGUUUGUGGGGUAGUGGCUUACCAAGGCUUUGACGGGUAGCCGGCCUGAGAGGGUGACCGGCCACAUGGGGACUGAGAGACGGCCCAGAAUCCUACGGGAGGCAGAAGGGGGGAAUAUUGCACAAUGGGCGGAAGCCUGAUGCAGAAACGCCGCGUGCGGGAUGACGGGCUUCGGGUUGUAAACCGCUUUCGAAUGUGACGAAGAGUGAGUGACGGUAAUGGGUAAAGAAGCACCGGCUAACUACGUG